This 439-nucleotide long non-coding RNA is filed under the name Elaeis guineensis (African oil palm). RNAcentral's name for it is "long non-coding RNA (EGUI_LNC077728)". Lineage: Eukaryota; Viridiplantae; Streptophyta; Magnoliopsida; Arecales; Arecaceae. The record is from RNAcentral.
GGCUGCCAAAAUAUUAGUCCAGUCCUACCAUUUAAGAGUCUAAAUGGGCCGGCUCGUGGGCCACGGCCCAUUUGGACGGCUAUGGAUCUCCCUCGGCUGAGAAAGGGGAAAGGACAUCAGUUACAGCAUAACAAGUUCUCCAACUUAUCCCAGCUUACCAACUUGCUGGAAUUACAGAACUCUCCAUUCCUUUACAAAAGUUACAGCAUUCUGUUGAGGAGAAUGUUCUUAGUGGUGGCCUUCUUUAGGAAUAUGCGGUUGUUUUUCUCUUGCCAUGGGCACCAACAAGUACUUGCAAGUAGUGCAGGAACCGGCAUCUUCAUUCAAUCCACGGUGAUCAUAAUGAUGGUACGCGUGCUCUAAUUACAGCUCUAAGCUUCAAAUAUUUCCAAUGGCAGCAGAGGCUUUUGACGUUCUCCGGCUAGCAGCUCCUGCAAAG